UACGGAGGGGGCAAGCGUUGUUCGGAAUUACUGGGCGUAAAGGGCGCGCAGGCGGCUGCUCAAGUCAGGCGUGAAAGGCCUGGGCUCAACCCGGGAAUUGCGCUUGAGACUGGGCUGGCUUGAGUGCGGGAGAGGAUGGUGGAAUUCCCAGUGUAGAGGUGAAAUGCGCAGAUAUCAGGAGGAACACCGGUGGCGAAGGCGGGUCUCUGGGCCGAUACUGACGCUGAGGAGCGAAAGCGUGGGGAGCGAACAGG
RNAcentral lists this ribosomal RNA (254 nucleotides) under uncultured bacterium. RNAcentral's name for it is "partial 16S ribosomal RNA". It matches the Rfam family "Bacterial small subunit ribosomal RNA", at positions 524 to 776 of the family's 1533-position model. The record is from RNAcentral.